This 236-nucleotide unclassified non-coding RNA is filed under the name Hevea brasiliensis (rubber tree). Lineage: Eukaryota; Viridiplantae; Streptophyta; Magnoliopsida; Malpighiales; Euphorbiaceae. The record is from RNAcentral.
UUGUUUUACAACUAACAUUGUUUUCUUUAAUUUAUGUAGGUUAUUGUUUUAAACAAUAAUUUAGUGCUCUAUAUAUACUUAAAUUUAUAACCUAAUAAAAGUAUUUUGAUCACUAUCACUAUUUCUAUUUUUGAUUGGAUGAGAUUGUAAUUAUAGAAAACAUUGUCUUGUUGUAUAAAUUAUAGGCAACACUUGAGGACUAGAACAUAAUUUACUAUUUUUAUGGGCCAAUAAAA